UACGAAGGGGGCUAGCGUUGUUCGGAAUUACUGGGCGUAAAGCGUGCGCAGGCGGUUUCUCAAGUCAGGGGUGAAAGCCCGGAGCUCAACUCCGGAAUUGCCUUUGAAACUGUGAAGCUCGAGGGCGGGAGAGGUGAGUGGAAUUCCCAGUGUAGAGGUGAAAUUCGUAGAUAUUGGGAAGAACACCGGUGGCGAAGGCGGCUCACUGGCCCGUUUCUGACGCUCAUGCACGACAGCGUGGGGAUCAAACAGG
Molecule: ribosomal RNA, 253 nt
Filed under: uncultured bacterium
Lineage: Bacteria
Description: partial 16S ribosomal RNA
Rfam family: Bacterial small subunit ribosomal RNA
Source: RNAcentral